Bombus impatiens (common eastern bumble bee) is the source of this 2155-nucleotide long non-coding RNA. RefSeq lists it as uncharacterized. The transcript is spliced from 3 exons. The record is from RefSeq and is a predicted model, not a curated record. NCBI's taxonomy places the organism in Eukaryota, Metazoa, Arthropoda, Insecta, Hymenoptera, Apidae.
UGGAGAUUUGUUUCACUCUCUGAAUAUUAUACUAAAUACUUUACAUUGAAUAUCUUUUAGGAAGGGGAUUAACAUGGCAAUUUUGAUGAUAUGUAGAUGUACAGUACACAUAUUAUAUACUAAAUCAUAACAUAAAUUUGUUGUAUGGAGGUUAUCUAUGAAUAAAUUAUGAAUGUUCAGGCAAACUCAAGUUUUUCUGAUCUCAAUAAGAGAAGCGAACGCUAAUUGGAGAUCUGUUUCACUCUCUGAAUAUUACACUAAAUACUUUACAUUGAAUAUCUUUUGUACAUCUUUACGCAUUUAAUUUUCCUGUAAAUACAAUAACAUCUACCGUCCAUCAAUAAUAUUUUACAUCCUAACCUCUUCAAAAAGUCACACAACAAAUCUUAUAACACAAUUAAUUACAAUACCAUUUCAUACCAUAAUAGGUACAUCACAGAUAAACUACGGAUUUUUAGACUAAAUUUAGAGGCACAAAAAUCUACAGACUGUAUAUGAUCUAGAAAAAUAAUAAGAUAUCCAAUGCUCUGUCCAAAGUAUUCUUUAUAAUUUUUAUUGGAUGAAACAAAUUUCUAUGUGCACAAGAUUAGGUGAUUCACCCAGAGUACAAAGAAAGGGUGGAGGUGGGGUUAAGGUAAGUACAUAUAGGAGGAAGGAGAAUAAUAAUUCGACAAAGCGGCGGUCGGAAAGAAAGAAAUCCAUAUUCAGAUCCGAUGAUGUAUCCGGGGCCGCGAGAGGGCUGCUCCCCAUUCAAAGGGGAGGAGGUAAAGGGAAGCAAGCCUAUGGAAGAGGAAAGGAAGGAGGAAGCCGCGUGAACGUGUACUAGGUCCCACCACUACUAUACUCACCUCACCCUUUUCACAUCUUUCUUCUCUUUUUCUAUCUUUCUCUGUUCGUACAGAGAGUAUAUGCCGCGUUUUGCCUUUAUCAUCGGCGGCGGCGGCAAACCCUUAGCCGCGCCACGAUUAUGAUUCCGAUUAUUAUGAUUAUGAUUAUGAUUAUGAUUAUUAUGAUUAUUGUUAGGUGGAGGUAUCGCGUUGCCGUCACGGGCACGUCGACCCAUGCUUUGUCCACGUGACAGCGAUAGGGCCCAUUUAUGUCGAGAACACACACUCCACGCCGACGUUAUAAUGGAGGAUAAAUCCAGCCGAAAAGACCACAAUACAUACAUCGUUCUGUCGUAGCAUUAACCGCAAAAUCCUAGAAGAAUCUCAGUUUCGUCUAAAAGGCGAAGGACGCACCAAACUACCAAGCGUGAGUGUAUAGAGGGGUUAAAAAUCCUAUUCUAAAAAUUCCGAGAAAAUCAGCCUUCUAGAAACCAUUCCUACAUGAAGAAACACUCUACACCACUCGAACCAGUUCGAUAACCUAACCCAGCUCCUCUCGCCGUACCUAUACAACCCUCUGCUUCACUCGACGCUGACGAACAACCUCGUCUACUUCAUCUUCAAAGAGACAACAACCUCACUCUUCGAUAGGCUGCUACUGCUAGACGGAAAAACUGUAAUCGGAUCCGUUUCAAGCAGAAGGAGCAGGAAACACCGAGAAGAGUUUCGAAAAGACGUCGCAAAGAGAACUAGAACCGCUACCGACGAUGAUCAGACAACAUCUAUCGUCGACGCGGUCGUAAACCGACGAUACCAGACGAAAAGUCGACCGUUCGUCAGGUUGUCUGGCUAAGAUUCGCUGCCGUGGUUCCGUUUACGAACCCACAGAAAGGAACGUAGAUAAAUACUCAUGGGCGGCUCUUACAGUUUUACGACCGUGCCACGGUUCUACGUUUGCUCGCUCUAUUUGGCUAACGACAAUUCUGAUCUGCAUUUUCUCAAACCGAAACUAUCCUUAUCGCCCUCUGAGAUUUCUCGUGGCAUCUGGUGAAUCGCGCGUGGAAUGCGCUUGGCAACGCUUCCGCGUGUCUUUUGGCCGUUUUAUUGAUGGUGUACAACAAGUACUACACAGGAUUAUGCAAUUUUGUAUUUAUAGAAAUUCGGAUAUAAGUUAGUUUUAGUACGCGAUGCAGUGUUUCAGGAAUCUCCAAAGAAAAUUGUUCGGUGAAAUUAGAAUACAGAAUCCCUUGUUUUACAAUGUCUUGGAUCGUAUGUUUUAGGAAUAUUCAAAUAAAAUUUUAGAAUUCGAAUAUAGGAGAUUUUUAAUU